Long non-coding RNA from Populus euphratica (Euphrates poplar), 779 nucleotides. RefSeq lists it as uncharacterized. NCBI's taxonomy places the organism in Eukaryota, Viridiplantae, Streptophyta, Magnoliopsida, Malpighiales, Salicaceae. The transcript is spliced from 2 exons. The record is from RefSeq and is a predicted model, not a curated record.
GAAAAAUAAAUCGAGAUUUCUGACUCUGGCUUGGCAUGGAUCUUUGGAGGCAAACCAACAGAGGACAGAACACAGAGAGGAGUUGGGACUUGUGGCUACAUGUCUGCAGAGUAUGCAUUGGAUGACGUUUUUCAAUCAAGGGCGAUGUCUUUAGCUCUGGCUUAGUUGUACUUGGAACUCUGUGGGAUAAGAAAUACGGCGUCUUACAAGUCUAAUCAUAACUUUUAGCCUUUCAGCUUAUCUGAAUAAUCAAGAUUUUUGUAGCCACUCUUUGUUUGUCUCUGCAACGUCCUAAUUUUGAUUUUCGAAGUUUUCCCAGGCAUGGAGGUUGUGGAAAGAGGAAAAGGUACUGUAUGGAUCGAGAAUUAUGCGAAACUUGUGAUGCCAAAGAAUUUGUGAGGUGUGUGAAUGUUGGCCUCUUAUGUGUGCAAGAACAUCCAUGGGAUCGUUCAACCUUGUCGAACAUAGUUUUCGUGCUUGGAAGUGAAACUGCAUCUCUACUAUCUUCUAAGCAACAGGAUUUGCAGUGAGCAGAUCCCUUUCUAGCACUGGUUCUUCUUCUAGCAAAGCAGAUUCAUACGUCGAGUUAACAAAUACCUUGUGGACGACAAUGUGGGGGCCUUUUGGAAAUCCUUCUCUCCUCUGAAUCAAUCUAGCAGGGCGUGUCAUACUUCUGAUCGAUUUGAUGUUUUUUGUCUAGUUCCAUUUACUCAGAGCCAUUGUCUUUAAAAUUUGUCAAGUGAAUUCGGAUCAAGCAACAUGAAAGGAGAAAUUAUAAA